AGAGUUUGAUCAUGGCUCAGGAUGAACGCUAGCGGCAGGCUUAACACAUGCAAGUCGAGGGGCAGCGGGGUGUAGCAAUACACUGCCGGCGACCGGCGCACGGGUGCGUAACGCGUAUGCAACCUACCCCACUAACAGGGGCGAUAACACUGAGAAAUUAGGUACUAAUUCCCCACUAACAUUCGAAGAGGCAUCUCUUUGGGUUGGAAAACUACCGGUGGUUAUGGAUGGGCGAUGCGUUGUAUUAGCUAGUUGGG
RNAcentral lists this ribosomal RNA (257 nucleotides) under uncultured bacterium. RNAcentral describes it as "partial 16S ribosomal RNA". It matches the Rfam family "Bacterial small subunit ribosomal RNA", at positions 8 to 253 of the family's 1533-position model. The record is from RNAcentral.